CGCCCUGUAGCGCAACCGGUAGAGCCGAGCCCUCAUAAGGCUUUGGUUGCAGGUUCGAGCCCUGCCGGGGCGACCA
Molecule: transfer RNA, 76 nt
Filed under: Hyphomicrobiales bacterium
Lineage: Bacteria; Pseudomonadati; Pseudomonadota; Alphaproteobacteria; Hyphomicrobiales
Description: Rhizobiales bacterium (bioreactor metagenome) tRNA-Ile
Rfam family: tRNA
About the family: Transfer RNA (tRNA) molecules are approximately 80 nucleotides in length. Their secondary structure includes four short double-helical elements and three loops (D, anti-codon, and T loops).
Source: RNAcentral